UAAAUGCACCUUCUCUAGAAAACAUGCAUUCAAGACCUCAAUUGUUAGGGCUUGGUUUUGGGUUGGGGAUUAUUGAAAGAAAAGUAAGUUAUCUAUCUUCAGGGGCUAUAUAUUCCAGUCAAGAGGCUCAGUAGAGAGAAAUGCCUAAAAUAGGAAUUACAAGGCCAGACUUAGUGGCCUUGUGUCAUAGGAGCCAUGGUGUUUAAUAUCAGACUUUGUUUUAACAAUUGAAAGCCCACCGAAGGUGCACUAAAGCAAGCCCUUGAUUUAUUUUUUGAGUCAAACUUCUUGUGGUGUUUUGCGGGGAUAGUGCUUAUUGAAUUUUGGGUUUCUUUGAAAUAAUCACUGUUUGUUUCCCCUUUGUAGCUGGGAACUUCUGGGGUAGGACGUUGUCUGCUAUCUCCAGUUCCACAGACCCAACCAGUUACGAUGGUUUUGGACCAUUUAUGCCGGGAUUCGACAUCAUUCCCUAUAAUGAUCUGCCCGCACUGGAGCGUGCUCUUCAGGAUCCAAAUGUGGCUGCGUUCAUGGUAGAACCAAUUCAGGGUGAAGCAGGCGUUGUUGUUCCGG
This 570-nucleotide long non-coding RNA is filed under the name Homo sapiens (human). RNAcentral's name for it is "non-protein coding lnc-NKX1-2-4:1". The record is from RNAcentral. Lineage: Eukaryota; Metazoa; Chordata; Mammalia; Primates; Hominidae.